GACUGGGCUUCCCUGUAUCUAUGGUCUGACGGACAAACAGCCCCAUUCUCAGAGUUCAUAACGGAGUGCUUACAUUAUUACACUUGUGCAAUUCAAGAUAUAUUUAUUUUACCCUUUCAGUAUUUGUUGUUGUUGUUGUUGUUGAAAAAGGUACAAAAUGUUUGAAUUGUUUAAAAAGUUAUUUUAAGCUAUACAGGUUUUGUGUUCUCAGAGGGAUGGGAUCAAAACACAGCAAGAUGACAAUUCAGUUGAAAAGAUAAGAGUAGUCAGCACUUCAGACUAGUGAGGACAAUGUGCAUUAUAAUGCAGCUGUUUAGUUUGACGACUGUGACACACAAACGCAGUCAUUUCACUGUGAGAACUGACGGACUGUAAUAAUAAUAAUGUGUUUUAAAGCCUACAUACACACAAACAGGUUGUACUUUCUGCUAAAUUCAAUGUAGGCUUUUUUCUUGUUGCUUUUGACAACAACAACAGUACACCAAAGUUCAGAAUAGAUGAACAAUGUUUCUGUGUGUUUGGCGUUUCUAAUGAUAAGCUAAGUGACAGCUGUAUUGGAGAGACAGAGGCAGGAUAAAACACAACACAUCACUCAAAUGUUUGGUGAGAAAAUAGGUGAGAUACUGUACUGGCUAGAUGGGAGGUACUGUACUGUACUGGCUAGAUGGGAGGUACUGUACUGUAUUGGCUAGAUGGGAGGUACUGUACUGUAUUGGCUAGAUGGGAGGUACUGUACUGUACUGUAUUGGCUAGAUGGGAGGUACUGUAUUGGCUAGAUGGGAGGUACUGUACUGGCUAGAUGGGAGGUACUGUACUGUAUUGGCUAGAUGGGAGCUACUGUACUGGCUAGAUGGGAGGUACUGUACUGGCUGGAUGGGGGGUACUGUACUGUAUUGGCUAGAUGAGAGGUACUGUACUAUACUGGCUAGAUGGGAAGUACUGUACUGUACUGGCUAGACGGGAGGUACUGUACUGGCUGGAUGGGAGGUACAGUACUGGCUAGAUGGGAGGUACAGUACUGGCUGGAUGGGAGGUACAGUACUGGCUAGAUGGGAGGUACAGUACUGGCUGGAUGGGAGGUACAGUACUGGUUGGAUGGGAGGUACUGUAUUGGCUAGAUGAGGUACUGUAUUGGCUAGAUGAGGUACUGUACUGGUUAGAAGGGAGGUACAGUACUGGCUUGGUGGGAGGUACAGUACUGGCUGGAUGGGAGGUACAGUACUGGCUAGAUGAGGUACAGUACUGGCUAGAUGGGAGGUACAGUACUGGCUUGAUGGGAGGUACAGUACUGGCUGGAUGGGAGGUACAGUACUGGCUAGAUGAGGUACAGUACUGGCUAGAAGGGAGGUACAGUUCAGUACUGGUUAGAAGGGAGGUACUGUAUUGGUGGGAGGUACAGUACUGGUUAGAAGGGAGGUACAGUACUGGCUAGAAUGGAGGUACAGUACUGGCUUGGUGGGAGGUACAGUAUUGUACUGGGUGGAUGGGAAUAUGUAAACCCAGCCAACAUAUCUGGGUUAGUAUUCUGUAUGUGAAAUUGAGACAUCCAGGCCCGCUAGCCAAAACUCAACGGUGUGUGACUGACAGCUACAUGAACAUUAACUAUGUUACUCUUAUAAUGACCAUUUGGGGGGAGGGGGGCUUAUGUUGGUCCUGGUACACACCUGUACAAGUCUGUAAUGGAAAUGUGUUUCUUACAUACUGAGACCCUGAGGAGUGGGGUCGCGACCUUUUAUGGUGAUACCAUUCAGUAUUGGCUUC
This 1761-nucleotide long non-coding RNA is filed under the name Salmo salar (Atlantic salmon). Its description in RNAcentral is "lncRNA (ENSSSAG00000109273.1)". The record is from RNAcentral. Lineage: Eukaryota; Metazoa; Chordata; Actinopteri; Salmoniformes; Salmonidae.